Long non-coding RNA from Triticum urartu, 2319 nucleotides. RefSeq lists it as uncharacterized. NCBI's taxonomy places the organism in Eukaryota, Viridiplantae, Streptophyta, Magnoliopsida, Poales, Poaceae. The record is from RefSeq and is a predicted model, not a curated record.
UGCCCGACCCUCUCUUCUUCCUUUAUUUUCUUCCUGCUCGAGUCUUCGCCCGCUGCUCUCCUGGACGCCACCGGCCAUGUCCUCCACCGUCGCACGCCCGCACCACCUUGCAGCCGUCCCCAUCUAGAUUCCGAUUCCAGCAAACCUUCGGGUAUACCUCUUCCCAAUGAACCAAUCUAGUUGAGGCCCUGGCAAACCCUAGGAUUGAACGCCGGCGCUGUCUCCGGUUCUCCCAAUCGAUGCUCCGGCCACCACUAGCUCCAUUUGGCAUUCUCCUCGUCCCGCAUUCUUCGCAGCCUGCGUUUCCCUUGCGCCACCCUCUGUGACUCUGAUAAAAAUAAUUAUUUGGGAGGGGGAGAGGUGGUCAGCGGCUCAGAUUUCUGUGGGGUAGUGCGCACGGCUUCGUUUUCCUGCUGCGGGUGGAGGGCGUUGCCGUGGUUGUUGUAUGGGUCGUCCGUCUCGGUCUUCUUCCUGUUUCGGCUACUAGGGCGCUCUCCGUUCAGAUUAUUGUGUUCCUUUUCCUUUGUCAUUGGCUCUAAUUUCUCUGUUUGUUUGGGAUGGUGAUGCACUGCUAUUGGGGUCGUGCUUGCAAGCCGGCAUCAUUCGAUUGGGCGUUGUGAUUUUUGGGUUGUGGCUAUUAUGGUGGAAUCUUCAUGUAGGGCAUGGGAUUCCUGAUGUUGGUGCGGUCGAUUGGGUUCUGGAUUGCGCCAAGCGCAUUCAUUGUGUCGCAUCUUCUGGUGAGGUUUUGGUGUUUACCUUGCUAUGGUGGUGGGUUGUGGGUUUCCUUUGUUGGUCAGCAGGUGGAUUUGGCUGGUGGCCUGGUGUGUGUCAGGCCAUUUUCCUUCUAAUUUUUAUUCUAUCAUGUCCAUGGCUGAGUGGUUGUAUGUGGCAGGGUUUACUUUUUGUUGUGCAGCAGAGUUUUUGGUGCAUUAAGCCAGCUGCAUGGAGUACUUGAGUUUACAAGUUUUACACAUUGUUCUGAUGCUGGAUUUCAAAGGUACUCUCUAUUGAUAAUGGCUCAGAAUAAAGAAAACAUGCAGAUGAAAAUUUCCUACAAUUGAAACUGCUCUAACUUUUAUCCCUGAAUAGCUAGCAGCUGAAGGCUUCCUUUUUUUCUUUACUGCCGAGGGAUAAUCUCAUAUCCCCAUAUAUGAAAUCUUUUCAAUUUUUCAAUGUGGUUGACUUUUCCAGUUUUCUCUUUCCUUAUGUUCCAUGUUUGACAUAUAUAGGAUGCUGAUAUUUAGCCUGCACCAAAAGUUUAAAUUCGGUCAGUACCUCUUGAUAUGUUAGGAAACAGACAUGUUGUUCCAAGCAAUACUAGAAAAUAAUGUGAAGUAUAAUAGCAUGAACCAUAGUGAUGUACCAUUAGUGUUUUCGUAUACGACUAUUUGUAGUUUUGUCACUGCCCAACAUACAAAGGUAGAGAUACAAAAGGUAGAGAUAAAAUAAUGUGAAGUAUAAUAGCAUGAACCAUAGCGAUGUACCAUUAGUGUUUUCGUAUACGACUAUUUGUAGUUUUGUCACUGCCCAACAUACAAAGGUAGAGAUACACAAGCAGAGUUGUCAUCAUGCAGUAGUAUUACUAUAGAAGCAAUAGAAAUAUAGAAAUAACAUCAACAGAGAUAGUAUCUUUUAUGUAAUCUGUACCCUUCAGUUCAAACACAAAAUGUUAUCACUAUCAAAUCGGACCAUUCAGUAGCCAUACCAUGAAAUUAUGAAACCAAUGUGCAAAUCUUACACCAACAUGACUGCAAUGAUGCAGUUGACUAACCAGGAUAGGGCUUCCUGGUUGUUGAGAAUUAAGGGAGAGCUCAUAGUAAAAUCUUUGUUAAUACUUUACACACUCAUAGUGUGAUUGGUUGGGUGUAUAAGCUUAAUUAGGUUAUGCUGAGUUUGUGCAGAAUUCUUUUUUUUCGUCACACUGAAAUCCUUGUUCCUUUUGAACCAUUGGUACAUUAUAGAUGAUUAAAUUGUAUGCCCGUUGAUAUGUGCAAAGCUUUCAGAGGAGCUGCGACGCGCAAGAAGCAACAUCAAAAGAUUAAGGUGACAAUGACAAUCCAGGAGGAGGGAGCUACAGAGGUUGACAGUGAUGACACGGGCGGCAUCAGUGCAGUUGACUACCCAAGUGGUGGAUUGAUUGUCCUUUCUAUUUGUUUAGGAAAGUGUGGUUUAUUUAAUUCAGUAUGUUCGUGGCAAUCAGUUAGUAAACUUAGUACCGUUGUGUUUAUAUCAGGCAACAAACUAUUUUCUAUGUACUGGGGCAUGAUGUGUUUAUAUCAGUCAGUUUAGCUUCCGUUGUACAACAGUACAACUCGUCUA